AGCUUUGCGCAGUGGCAGUAUCGUAGCCAAUGAGGUUUAUCCGAGGCGCGAUUAUUGCUAAUUGAAAACUUUUCCCAAAUGCCAGCCUCUAGGCUAAGCCUUAACAAGUAAACGUGGAGAUUGUCUCUACAA
RNAcentral lists this small nuclear RNA (132 nucleotides) under Balaenoptera musculus (blue whale). RNAcentral's name for it is "U4 spliceosomal RNA (ENSBMSG00010018801.1)". It matches the Rfam family "U4 spliceosomal RNA". Rfam says of the family: U4 small nuclear RNA (U4 snRNA) is a component of the major U2-dependent spliceosome. Lineage: Eukaryota; Metazoa; Chordata; Mammalia; Artiodactyla; Balaenopteridae. The record is from Rfam by way of RNAcentral.